GAUUAACGCUAGCGGCAGGCAUAAUACAUGCAAGUUGAACGGCAGCACAGGUAGCAAUACUGGGUGGCGAGUGGCGCACGGGUGCGUAACACGUAUGCAACCUACCCUAUACAGGCGAAUAACCUUUAGAAAUGAGGGCUAAUACGCCGUAGUAUUACAGAUGGGCAUCUAUUUGUAAUUAAAGAUUUAUCGGUAUAGGAUGGGCAUGCGUCCCAUUAGUUAGUUGGUAAGGUAACGGCUUACCAAGACGAUGAUGGGUAGGGGAUCUGAGAGGACUUACCCCCACACUGGUACUGAGACACGGACCAGACUCCUACGGGAGGCAGCAGUAAGGAAUAUUGGGCAAUGGCCGCGAGGCUGACCCAGCCAUGCCGCGUGCAGGAAGACGGCCUUAUGGGUUGUAAACUGCUUUUAUACGGGAAUAAUAGAGUGUACGCGUACAUUUAUGCAAGUAUCGUAUGAAUAAGCAUCGGCUAACUCCGUG
RNAcentral lists this ribosomal RNA (484 nucleotides) under uncultured bacterium. RNAcentral describes it as "partial 16S ribosomal RNA". It matches the Rfam family "Bacterial small subunit ribosomal RNA", at positions 28 to 507 of the family's 1533-position model. The record is from RNAcentral.